Molecule: ribosomal RNA, 433 nt
Filed under: uncultured bacterium
Lineage: Bacteria
Description: partial 16S ribosomal RNA
Rfam family: Bacterial small subunit ribosomal RNA
Source: RNAcentral
AACGAACGCUGGCGGCAUGCCUAACACAUGCAAGUCGAACGAGACCUUCGGGUCUAGUUGCGCACGGGUGCGUAACGCGUGGGAACCUGCCCUUAGGCUCGGAAUACCUGCCCGAAAGGGGUGCUAAUACCGGAUAAUGUCCUCGGACCAAAGAUUUAUCGCCUUUGGAUGGGUCCGCGUUGGAUUAGCUAGUUGGUAUGGUAAAAGCCUACCAAGGCGACGAUCCAUAGCUGGUCUGAGAGGAUGAUCCGCCACACUGGGACUGAGACGCGGCCCAGACUCCUACGGGAGGCAGCAGUGGGGAAUAUUGGACAGUGGGCGGAAGCAUGAUCCAGCAAUGCCGCGUGAGCGAUGAAGGCCUUAGGGUUGUAAAGCUCUUUUACCCGGGAUGAUAAUGACAGUACCGGGAGAAUAAGCCCCGGCUAACCCCGUG